This 497-nucleotide ribosomal RNA is filed under the name uncultured bacterium. RNAcentral's name for it is "partial 16S ribosomal RNA". It matches the Rfam family "Bacterial small subunit ribosomal RNA", at positions 28 to 507 of the family's 1533-position model. The record is from RNAcentral.
GACGAGCGCUGGCGGCGUGCCUAAUACAUGCAAGUUGAGCGCUGAAGGUUGGUACUUGUACCAACUGGAUGAGCAGCGAACGGGUGAGUAACGCGUGGGGAAUCUGCCUUUGAGCGGGGGACAACAUUUGGAAACGAAUGCUAAUACCGCAUAAAAACUUUAAACACAAGUUUUAAGUUUGAAAGAUGCAAUUGCAUCACUCAAAGAUGAUCCCGCGUUGUAUUAGCUAGUUGGUGAGGUAAAGGCUCACCAAGGCGAUGAUACAUAGCCGACCUGAGAGGGUGAUCGGCCACAUUGGGACUGAGACACGGCCCAAACUCCUACGGGAGGCAGCAGUAGGGAAUCUUCGGCAAUGGACGAAAGUCUGACCGAGCAACGCCGCGUGAGUGAAGAAGGUUUUCGGAUCGUAAAACUCUGUUGGUAGAGAAGAACGUUGGUGAGAGUGGAAAGCUCAUCAAGUGACGGUAACUACUCAGAAAGGGACGGCUAACUACGUG